AGAAGCAACUCCUUGACUUUGCUUCUCUCUCUCUCUCUUCUCUUCUCUUUGAAGCCUUAACCUAGAUGUGAAGCUCUCAUUUUGAGUUUGAUCAAAGCUCUCAAUCAACUUGAAUUUUCAAAUAUUGGGGUCCAGAGAUUGUUCAUCUUUCUACCAAUGUGGAUGAUGAGAUUGUCUGGGAAUCAAAGAACGAUGGAAUGCUUACAGUCAAGUCAACAUACGCAUUGCUCUUUUAUGAUCUAUGAGAUGGCAUCAGACGGGGCUCGAAGAAGUAUGGAAAUAGCCGGUACCACACAAAAUUCAAGCUUUUCUACAUGUUGCCAUGCAAGGUAAGGUACUUAUUAUUGAUAAUUUAAAGAAAAGGGGCUGAAUAAUGAUGAAUGUUCUGGUGUGGCCUUCUCAAAAAAUUGGUUAUACGAUGGUGUUGCCUAGAAGCUAUGAGGAUAUUAUGUAUUAUUUUCAGUUACCGUGGAUGUGGUGGUCUGGCAAAUUUUCGUAGCAGCAAUUAUGUGGGAGGUAUGGAAGGAAAGAAGUAGACAAAAUUUUGAAGGGGUGAUAAUGGAUGUAAAAAAAUUAAAAGGAAAAAUUAUACUGUCUUUGAAGUUGGUUUUAUAUCAGUAAAAAAGGCUUAUUUGGCAGGCUUUCAUGUAAGCUUCUCAAACGUCAUUAACCAGCAAUUUGAUAAGUCUCUCAGCUAGUAGAUAUAUAUGCUUGGCACCUUCUAAAAGGUGCUUUCAUUCAAUUGAAAGCUUUGAAGUUGCAGCGUUUGUUUGAUAAUAUUGGAGAGGGCCACUUUCACCCCAAGUUUCACCCAUUUGACAACGGACACAAGUCGGAACACCCACCCAGUGAGAUUCUCCGCUCUCCCUUGCCGACCUUGACAUUUGGGGAGCUGUGUACCUCAAGCCACUGAGCUUCUUGCCCCUCGAUCAACGGCCUUGUAUCUUGCCCUAUACCCUCUGCACCUACAAUCAAUGGAAAACCAGGUUUGAACUAUGGGUCCACGUAAGAUUGGUUUCAAUGGAUGGUGGUGUAAAUUUUACUUCUAAUAAAGGAGGCUAUUAAUGUGAAAAGAUACAUGGGUAGAUGUUAUCAUAAUUUGUGACCCAUGGUAUAAAUUGGUAUGAUCUUUCAUUCUCAUGGACUGCACAAAUCUGGCAAGGAAUAGGAUAUGAAACCUACAUCACAGUGGAAUUGGGAAAAUCUUGUGAUGUUUCUUUAAAGAAAAUGAGACCAUAAAGUUCACUCCAAGUUAUAAAAAGUUCUUGGAAAAAUCUUGUGAUGUUCCUCGAUAAAAAAAAUGAGACCAUAAAGUUCACUCCACGUUAUAAAAAGUUCUAUUAUGAAGGACGAUAUGGCUCUGAGGAGCAAGGUGUAUUUAAACAAGUAACUUUCCUGCUGAUGCUGACAUUCCACUUGUUCUCUGAGUUAAUGUAUUUGUUGCUCAUGAUACUUUUUUAACACUUACGGAAAAUGGCAAAGCUGUAGUGGAUGU
Non-coding RNA from Amborella trichopoda, 1495 nucleotides. The record is from RefSeq and is a predicted model, not a curated record. Lineage: Eukaryota; Viridiplantae; Streptophyta; Magnoliopsida; Amborellales; Amborellaceae.